RNAcentral lists this ribosomal RNA (1015 nucleotides) under Escherichia coli. RNAcentral's name for it is "partial 23S ribosomal RNA". It matches the Rfam family "Bacterial large subunit ribosomal RNA", at positions 139 to 1194 of the family's 2925-position model. The record is from RNAcentral. Lineage: Bacteria; Pseudomonadati; Pseudomonadota; Gammaproteobacteria; Enterobacterales; Enterobacteriaceae.
UUCGACACACUAUCAUUAACUGAAUCCAUAGGUUAAUGAGGCGAACCGGGGGAACUGAAACAUCUAAGUACCCCGAGGAAAAGAAAUCAACCGAGAUUCCCCCAGUAGCGGCGAGCGAACGGGGAGCAGCCCAGAGCCUGAAUCAGUGUGUGUGUUAGUGGAAGCGUCUGGAAAGGCGCGCGAUACAGGGUGACAGCCCCGUACACAAAAAUGCACAUGCUGUGAGCUCGAUGAGUAGGGCGGGACACGUGGUAUCCUGUCUGAAUAUGGGGGGACCAUCCUCCAAGGCUAAAUACUCCUGACUGACCGAUAGUGAACCAGUACCGUGAGGGAAAGGCGAAAAGAACCCCGGCGAGGGGAGUGAAAAAGAACCUGAAACCGUGUACGUACAAGCAGUGGGAGCACGCUUAGGCGUGUGACUGCGUACCUUUUGUAUAAUGGGUCAGCGACUUAUAUUCUGUAGCAAGGUUAACCGAAUAGGGGAGCCGAAGGGAAACCGAGUCUUAACUGGGCGUUAAGUUGCAGGGUAUAGACCCGAAACCCGGUGAUCUAGCCAUGGGCAGGUUGAAGGUUGGGUAACACUAACUGGAGGACCGAACCGACUAAUGUUGAAAAAUUAGCGGAUGACUUGUGGCUGGGGGUGAAAGGCCAAUCAAACCGGGAGAUAGCUGGUUCUCCCCGAAAGCUAUUUAGGUAGCGCCUCGUGAAUUCAUCUCCGGGGGUAGAGCACUGUUUCGGCAAGGGGGUCAUCCCGACUUACCAACCCGAUGCAAACUGCGAAUACCGGAGAAUGUUAUCACGGGAGACACACGGCGGGUGCUAACGUCCGUCGUGAAGAGGGAAACAACCCAGACCGCCAGCUAAGGUCCCAAAGUCAUGGUUAAGUGGGAAACGAUGUGGGAAGGCCCAGACAGCCAGGAUGUUGGCUUAGAAGCAGCCAUCAUUUAAAGAAAGCGUAAUAGCUCACUGGUCGAGUCGGCCUGCGCGGAAGAUGUAACGGGGCUAAACCAUGCAC